This 493-nucleotide ribosomal RNA is filed under the name uncultured bacterium. RNAcentral describes it as "partial 16S ribosomal RNA". It matches the Rfam family "Bacterial small subunit ribosomal RNA", at positions 28 to 506 of the family's 1533-position model. The record is from RNAcentral.
GACGAACGCUGGCGGCGUGCUUAACACAUGCAAGUCGAGCGGAAAGGCCUGCUUUCCCUUGUGGAUUGCGGGUACUCGAGUGGCGAACGGGUGAGUAACACGUGAGUGAUCUGCCCCCAACUUGGGUAUAAGCCUGGGAAACUGGGUCUAAUUCCCGAUAGGACUGCAGGGUGGUGCCUGUGGUGGAAAACGAUUUUCUAGUGGUUGGGGAUGAGCUCGCGGCCUAUCAGCUUGUUGGUGGGGUAAUGGCCUACCAAGGCGGCGACGGGUAGCCGGCCUGAGAGGGUGGACGGCCACAUUGGGACUGAGAUACGGCCCAGACUCCUACGGGAGGCAGCAGUGGGGAAUAUUGCACAAUGGGCGGAAGCCUGAUGCAGCGACGCCGCGUGGGGGAUGACGGCCUUCGGGUUGUAAACUCCUUUCGACCGCGAGGAAGCCACCUGGUUGGAAGGGUGGUGACGGUAGUGGUAGAAGAAGCACCGGCUAACUACGU